RNAcentral lists this ribosomal RNA (379 nucleotides) under uncultured eukaryote. RNAcentral describes it as "partial 18S ribosomal RNA". It matches the Rfam family "Eukaryotic small subunit ribosomal RNA", at positions 592 to 975 of the family's 1831-position model. The record is from RNAcentral.
CAAUAGCGUAUAUUAAAGUUGUUGCAGUUAAAAAGCUCGUAGUUGGAUUUGUGGUGUACUUCGGCGGCCCGUCACUAUGUGAUGGAGCUUGCUGAAGUCGCCAUCCUUGGGUGGAUUCUGUCUGGCAUUAGGUUAUCGGGCAGAGGAUCCUCAUCGUUUACUGUGAAAAAAUUAGAGUGUUCAAAGCAGGCUUAUGCCGUUGAAUAUAUUAGCAUGGAAUAAUAAGAUAGGACUUUGGUACUAUUUUGUUGGUUUGCGCACCAAAGUAAUGAUUAAUAGGGACAGUUGGGGGUAUUCGUAUUCCGUUGUCAGAGGUGAAAUUCUUGGAUUUACGGAAGACGAACUACUGCGAAAGCAUUUACCAAGGAUGUUUUCAUUA